This is a long non-coding RNA of Cygnus olor (mute swan), 237 nucleotides long. RefSeq lists it as uncharacterized. The record is from RefSeq and is a predicted model, not a curated record. Lineage: Eukaryota; Metazoa; Chordata; Aves; Anseriformes; Anatidae. The transcript has 3 exons.
UCUUACUUUUGUUUGCAAGUAUAGGCUCCGAGAAAUUCAGAGCGCGUGCUCGGUGAGGGGUGGUCACACCUUGGAGGAGGGUAGCUUUUGGGAUGGAGGUGUGUUUUGGUAUUAUAAUUAUAUUAUAAUGAGCAAAAGUACACUAGAGUACAGCAUUUUGUCAAAAACAUGACAGGUCAUUGUCUCAGGGUAGCAAAAGUGCAGCUUAUCAGUCUCGGUGUGCACAAGAACAAUCGA